GCCCAGAUGGCGAAAUUGGUAGACGCGCAUGGUUGAGGGCCAUGUGACCUUACGGUCGUGCAAGUUCGAUUCUUGUUCUGGGCA
Molecule: transfer RNA, 84 nt
Filed under: Bacteroidota bacterium
Lineage: Bacteria; Pseudomonadati; Bacteroidota
Also listed under: 1 other name
Description: Bacteroidetes bacterium (marine metagenome) tRNA-Leu
Rfam family: tRNA
About the family: Transfer RNA (tRNA) molecules are approximately 80 nucleotides in length. Their secondary structure includes four short double-helical elements and three loops (D, anti-codon, and T loops).
Source: RNAcentral